Molecule: ribosomal RNA, 253 nt
Filed under: uncultured bacterium
Lineage: Bacteria
Description: partial 16S ribosomal RNA
Rfam family: Bacterial small subunit ribosomal RNA
Source: RNAcentral
UACGUAGGGUGCAAGCGUUGUCCGGAAUUAUUGGGCGUAAAGAGCUCGUAGGCGGUUUGUCGCGUCGAAUGUGAAAACCCGGGGCUCAACUCCGGGCCUGCAUUCGAUACGGGCAGACUAGAGUUCGGUAGGGGAGACUGGAAUUCCUGGUGUAGCGGUGAAAUGCGCAGAUAUCAGGAGGAACACCGGUGGCGAAGGCGGGUCUCUGGGCCGAUACUGACGCUGAGGAGCGAAAGCGUGGGUAGCGAACAGG